GACGAACGCUGGCGGCAUGCCUAACACAUGCAAGUCUAGGGGUAGCAAUACCACUGGCGCACGGGUGAGUAACACGUAGGUUAUCUGCCCCCAUCACAGACAUAACCCCGGGAAACCGGGGCUAAUAUCUGAUGAGGUCGCGAGAUCAAAGCUUCGGCGGAUGGGGAUGAGCCUGCGGCUGAUUAGCUAGUUGGUGAGGUAAUGGCUCACCAAGGCGACGAUCAGUAGCUGGUCUGAGAGGACGAACAGCCACACUGGAACUGAGACACGGUCCAGACUCCUACGGGAGGCAGCAGUGAGGAGUAUUGGUCAAUGGGAGCAAUCCUGAACCAGCAAUGCCGCGUGUGGGAUGACAGGGCUUCGCCUUGUAAACCACUGUCGGACGGGACGAAAGGAGGCCUCGGGCCUCUGGGACGGUACCGUCAAAGGAAGGGUCGGCUAACUACGUGCCAGCAGCCGCGGUAAU
Molecule: ribosomal RNA, 466 nt
Filed under: uncultured bacterium
Lineage: Bacteria
Description: bacterial SSU rRNA
Rfam family: Bacterial small subunit ribosomal RNA
Source: RNAcentral